UCCCUAUAUAGACGGAGCAGGGUAAAUCCUCCCAGAGAAGAGCCAUAGGGGAGCAUGUGCAUAUGCAUAGUUAUAUGUUGCAUUUGAAUUGGUGGUAGUAACAAGUACUAAAACUUGGGGCUGGGGGAAAAUCCCCUGAAAGUGUUAUCUUUAGAAAGUUGUUACUGGCAAUAUUCAGAAUGAUCUCACUGGGGCUGUCUGCCCCCACUUGUGUGCAUCCUAAGGCUGAGCAACCAAUCAGAGCUGCUGCAGGCAGAGAUCUCUACCCCUCCCACAGCCCUCAGCAAACUAUUCUCACAGGUGGGGAGGAGGAGUGAAAGAACCCAGUAGCUCAGGGUGGCUCUACUCUCCCCUGCCACCUGUAAGCAAUUGGGUGGGGCAGGGGUUCCUCUAAUCCUCCCUGCAGCACCUGCCUGGGAAGAGCCCCUGGAGCUGCCUCCAGCCAGUCAGAAAGGGGCAGUGGGGAUCCUGCUUCGGGCAGUGGGAGUGAAGAGCCCCAGAAGGAGCACUGAGCUGUCCCUUUAAAAAAUGGCAGAGACAAGCAGCUGCAGCCCGAAAGUGACCAUUUUGUAACUGGUUGCUGUGUGCUGACAUUCUCUCUUCCAGCUGCAGUAAAAGGUAGUCCUAAUGAAACACACAGAGAAGGAACCUUCUGAUCUGAGAUCUGAUUGAUGGGUUGACCAUACUCCACUGGGUUCAGAGGAGCUGAAAAUCAGUUUUGGUGCUCAAACUGCUCCCCUGUAUAAGUGCUACGACUGCAUCCAGAGUACUAUUUCUGUGUCCAGACCAAAUGAUUCCUCUGUUAUGAGAAGGCAUAUUUGUGGUACAGGCCAAACAGGAAAACUUGCAUGAAAGUUGGAUGAAGCCUUUCCACAUUAAGAGAAGAACAAAUCGUUUAAACCGGGCUCUGUUUCUUCAAGCAACAUUGCUGCAUCCAAAGGCAAUCUGAGUCAUGGAAAAUGUGUGAAAUAUUUUCGGGGGGCGGGGGGGGGUUGUAAUUUUUAGAUGAUCCCUGGCCAUAGUGACUGUGUUGCUGGGAAGCA
Molecule: long non-coding RNA, 1043 nt
Organism: Chelonia mydas (Green sea turtle)
Lineage: Eukaryota; Metazoa; Chordata; Testudines; Cheloniidae
Exons: 4
Source: RefSeq, a predicted model, not a curated record